Molecule: long non-coding RNA, 260 nt
Filed under: Trifolium pratense (red clover)
Lineage: Eukaryota; Viridiplantae; Streptophyta; Magnoliopsida; Fabales; Fabaceae
Description: long non-coding RNA (TPRA_LNC010090)
Source: RNAcentral
AACUCAGUAGCGCUACCUGAGAGAUACAAGAAAAUUAUUUGGGAUGUAAUUUGUUUAGCUAAUUUUUUAUAGUAGUUUUAUCUUCUAUUUGAGUCAGUUUGGAUUAAUAUCCACUUGUUUGUAAGGUUGUUAACUCUCUUUUUUAGUUUCAUUGAUUGUUUAUGCAUUGUCGGUUAUGUUCCUACAGAAAUUAGGAAGACAUUGAUUGUACUAAUUAUUUGCCUAUAGUGGAGUUAUUUCUUUGGUCUCGACGACCCGUG